UAUCGUUUAUUUGAUAGUACCCUUACUACAUGGAUACCUGUGGUAAUUCUAGAGCUAAUACAUGCUAAAAACCCCGACUUUCGGGAGGGGUGUAUUUAUUAGAUAAAAAAUCAAUGCCCUCCGGGGCUUAUUGACGAUUCAGAAUAACUCAACGGAUCGCAUGGCCUUGCGCCGGCGACGGUUCAUUCAAAUUUCUGCCCUUUUUAACUUUCGAUGGUAAGGUAGUGGCUUACCAUGGUUUCGAUGGGUAACGGGGAAUUAGGGUUCGAUUCCGGAGAAGGAGCCCGAGCAACAGCUCCUACAUCCAAGGAAGGCAGCAGGCGCGCAAAUUACCCAAUCCCGACACGGGGAGGUAGUGACAAUAAAUACUGAUGCGAGGCUCUUUUGGGUCGCGCAAUCGGAAUGAGUACAAUUUAAACCUCUUAACGAGGAACAAUUGGAGGGCAAGUCUGGUGCCAGCAGCCGCGGUAAUUCCAGCUCCAAUAGCGUAUAUUAAAGUUGUUGCAGUUAAAAAGCUCGUAGUUGAAUCUUGGGCCUGGCUGGCCGGUCCGCCUCACCGCGUGCACUGGUCCGGCCGGGCCUUUCCUUCUGGGGAGCCCCAUGCCCUUCACUGGGUGUGCGGGGGAUCCAGGACUUUUACCUUGAAAAAAUUAGAGUGUUCAAAGCAGGCCUUUGCUCGGAUACGUUAGCAUGGAAUAAUAGAAUAAGACGUGCGAUCUUAUUUUGUUGGUUUCUAGGACCGCCGUAAUGAAUAAUAGGGAUAGUCGGGGGCAUCAGUAUUCAAUUGUCAGAGGUGAAAUUCUUGGAUUUAUUGAAGACUAACUACUGCGAAAGCAUUUGCCAAGGAUGUUUUUCAUUAAUCAGUGAACCGAAAGUUAGGGGAUCGGAAGACGAUCAGAUACCGUCGUAGUCUUUAACCCGUAAACUAUGCCCGACUAGGGAUCGGGCGAUGUUUCUUUAUUGACUCGCUCGGCACCUUUCGAG
This 984-nucleotide ribosomal RNA is filed under the name Teichospora thailandica. RNAcentral's name for it is "SSU rRNA". It matches the Rfam family "Eukaryotic small subunit ribosomal RNA", at positions 111 to 1094 of the family's 1831-position model. The record is from RNAcentral. Lineage: Eukaryota; Fungi; Ascomycota; Dothideomycetes; Pleosporales; Teichosporaceae.